GCGCCGAAAGCAUAGACCGCGAUGCGCCCGCCAUCCAGGCGGGAGAGGGGAGUUCAAUUCUCACCUCGGCGCUCCA
This 76-nucleotide transfer RNA is filed under the name Thermoanaerobaculia bacterium. RNAcentral describes it as "tRNA-Gly". Lineage: Bacteria; Pseudomonadati; Acidobacteriota; Thermoanaerobaculia. The record is from RNAcentral.